CACCAAACAGAGGCUCUUUGGCUUCUUCUACAAAAUCGCAGCGCACAGCAAACGCGUGGCCGAGGAGGGGUCCCCGUUCGGCUUCCGUUACCAGCAUGGAGAUGUUCAGAAACCGCUUGAGUACUAAAACCAAUAGUAUGUACAGCAACGCCUUUGAAAAAGGCUUCUGUUAAGUGCCCUUCUCAGACAAGAAGAGCAUCGCACCUAAAGACGACCACGAUUACCAGAACUACCCCAUAGGCAAACAAAGCUCCUGCUAUCUUGGACCUCUUGCAAGUCACCAUGGAUAUGAAGACAACGAUGAGGAGGAUGAAGCACCCUAUUGCAUCAUGAAUCUACAAGAUAGUAGUUAAAGUCUCAACUGACCUUAUUGUUAUUGUUUUCAUUUAAUAUUUGAAAAGAAACUUCGAUUAAACAGGGGCGUAGCCAGGGGGUGGCCUAGGGCCCCCCCUUCAGCAGCCAAAAAUACAGUAAAUGUAUGAGACAUUAUCUAAAAUACAGGAAAAAAUGCCUUGAAAGUCCCUUUUUGGCCCCCUCCUGUUAAUAAUCCUGGCUACGCCGCUGUUAAAUCUCGAAAUAAACAUCUUAGAUCAAAGUAAAAUACUUCGUUCACCAAUCAUAGACCAUGGAAAUUGAUUAAUCAAACUUGGUAUUUUGCUAGAUGUUAAAAUGGCUGGCAGAGGCUGUUUUAGGUGGAAGCGUAAACCAGCGGUUUUCAGUGGGAACACAGAAAGCGGGACACACUGACAACAUUCAUUUUUUGAAAUACUUUGAGCUUGUCGAUACGAAAACAUUUUAUAAUAUUCUCGACAGUUCCAUUCAUUGUAUGAUUUUUAAUCAUUUUUUAAUUAUCAAAGGCCGACAUGAC
This is a long non-coding RNA of Nematostella vectensis (starlet sea anemone), 868 nucleotides long. RefSeq lists it as uncharacterized. NCBI's taxonomy places the organism in Eukaryota, Metazoa, Cnidaria, Anthozoa, Actiniaria, Edwardsiidae. The record is from RefSeq and is a predicted model, not a curated record. The transcript is spliced from 2 exons.